CCCGGCGACCGGCGCACGGGUGAGUAACACGUAUGAAACCUGCCCGUAGCAGGGGGAUAAGCGGAAGAAAUUCCGUCUAAUACCGCGUAACAACCCAUGGAGGCAUCUCUGUGGGUUUAAAGGAAGCGAUUCCGGCUACGGAUGGUCAUGCGUCGCAUUAGCAUGUUGGCGGGGUAACGGCCCACCAAGGCGACGAUGCGUAGGGGUUCUAAGAGGAAGGUCCCCCACACUGGUACUGAGACACGGACCAGACUCCUACGGAAGGCAGCAG
RNAcentral lists this ribosomal RNA (271 nucleotides) under uncultured bacterium. RNAcentral describes it as "partial 16S ribosomal RNA". It matches the Rfam family "Bacterial small subunit ribosomal RNA", at positions 87 to 354 of the family's 1533-position model. The record is from RNAcentral.